RNAcentral lists this ribosomal RNA (450 nucleotides) under uncultured bacterium. RNAcentral's name for it is "partial 16S ribosomal RNA". It matches the Rfam family "Bacterial small subunit ribosomal RNA", at positions 354 to 796 of the family's 1533-position model. The record is from RNAcentral.
GUGGGGAAUUUUGGACAAUGGGCGCAAGCCUGAUCCAGCAAUGCCGCGUGCAGGAAGAAGGCCUUCGGGUUGUAAACUGCUUUUGUACGGAACGAAACGGUCCUGGCUAAUACCCGGGGCUAAUGACGGUACCGUAAGAAUAAGCACCGGCUAACUACGUGCCAGCAGCCGCGGUAAUACGCAGGGUGCGAGCGUUAAUCGGAAUUACUGGGCGUAAAGCGUGCGCAGGCGGUGCUGUAAGACAGGCGUGAAAUCCCCGGGCUCAACCUGGGAAUUGCGCUUGUGACUGCAGUGCUGGAGUGCGGCAGAGGGGGAUGGAAUUCCGCGUGUAGCAGUGAAAUGCGUAGAUAUGCGGAGGAACACCGAUGGCGAAGGCAAUCCCCUGGGCCUGCACUGACGCUCAGGCACGAAAGCGUGGGGAGCAAACAGGAUUAGAUACCCUAGUAGUCC